RNAcentral lists this ribosomal RNA (1394 nucleotides) under uncultured bacterium. Its description in RNAcentral is "bacterial SSU rRNA". It matches the Rfam family "Bacterial small subunit ribosomal RNA". The record is from RNAcentral.
AGAGUUUGAUCAUGGCUCAGGAUGAACGCUAGCUACAGGCUUAACACAUGCAAGUCAAGGGGCAGCAUGGUCUUAGCUUGCUAAGGCCGAUGGCGACCGGCGCACGGGUGAGUAACACGUAUCCAACCUGCCGUCUACUCUUGGACAGCCUUCUGAAAGGAAGAUUAAUACAAGAUGGCAUCAUGAGUCCGCAUGUUCACAUGAUUAAAGGUAUUCCGGUAGACGAUGGGGAUGCGUUCCAUUAGAUAGUAGGCGGGGUAACGGCCCACCUAGUCUUCGAUGGAUAGGGGUUCUGAGAGGAAGGUCCCCCACAUUGGAACUGAGACACGGUCCAAACUCCUACGGAAGGCAGCAGUGAGGAAUAUUGGUCAAUGGGCGAGAGCCUGAACCAGCCAAGUAGCGUGAAGGAUGACUGCCCUAUGGGUUGUAAACUUCUUUUAUAAAGGAAUAAAGUCGGGUAUGCAUACCCGUUUGCAUGUACUUUAUGAAUAAGGAUCGGCUAACUCCGUGCCAGCAGCCGCGGUAAUACGGAGGAUCCGAGCGUUAUCCGGAUUUAUUGGGUUUAAAGGGAGCGUAGAUGGAUGUUUAAGUCAGUUGUGAAAGUUUGCGGCUCAACCGUAAAAUUGCAGUUGAUACUGGAUAUCUUGAGUGCAGUUGAGGCAGGCGGAAUUCGUGGUGUAGCGGUGAAAUGCUUAGAUAUCACGAAGAACUCCGAUUGCGAAGGCAGCCUGCUAAGCUGCAACUGACAUUGAGGCUCGAAAGUGUGGGUAUCAAACAGGAUUAGAUACCCUGGUAGUCCACACGGUAAACGAUGAAUACUCGCUGUUUGCGAUAUACAGCAAGCGGCCAAGCGAAAGCGUUAAGUAUUCCACCUGGGGAGUACGCCGGCAACGGUGAAACUCAAAGGAAUUGACGGGGGCCCGCACAAGCGGAGGAACAUGUGGUUUAAUUCGAUGAUACGCGAGGAACCUUACCCGGGCUUAAAUUGCAGAUGAAUUACGGUGAAAGCCGUAAGCCGCAAGGCAUCUGUGAAGGUGCUGCAUGGUUGUCGUCAGCUCGUGCCGUGAGGUGUCGGCUUAAGUGCCAUAACGAGCGCAACCCUUGUUGUCAGUUACUAACAGGUUCCGCUGAGGACUCUGACAAGACUGCCAUCGUAAGAUGUGAGGAAGGUGGGGAUGACGUCAAAUCAGCACGGCCCUUACGUCCGGGGCUACACACGUGUUACAAUGGGGGGUACAGAGGGCCGCUACCACGCGAGUGGAUGCCAAUCCCAAAAACCUCUCUCAGUUCGGACUGGAGUCUGCAACCCGACUCCACGAAGCUGGAUUCGCUAGUAAUCGCGCAUCAGCCACGGCGCGGUGAAUACGUUCCCGGGCCUUGUACACACCGCCCGU